GAUGAACGCUGGCGGCGUGCCUAAUACAUGCAAGUCGAGCGAACGGACGAGAAGCUUGCUUCUCUGAUGUUAGCGGCGGACGGGUGAGUAACACGUGGAUAACCUACCUAUAAGACUGGGAUAACUUCGGGAAACCGGAGCUAAUACCGGAUGAUAUUUUGAACCGCAUGGUUCAAAAGUGAAAGGCGGUCUUGCUGUCACUUAUAGAUGGAUCCGCGCUGCAUUAGCUAGUUGGUAAGGUAACGGCUUACCAAGGCAACGAUGCAUAGCCGACCUGAGAGGGUGAUCGGCCACACUGGAACUGAGACACGGUCCAGACUCCUACGGGAGGCAGCAGUAGGGAAUCUUCCGCAAUGGGCGAAAGCCUGACGGAGCAACGCCGCGUGAAUGAUGAAGGUCUUCGGAUCGUAAAACUCUGUUAUUAGGGAAGAACAUAUGUGUAAGUAACUGUGCACAUCUUGACGGUACCUAAUCAGAAAGCCACGGCUAACUACGUG
Molecule: ribosomal RNA, 497 nt
Filed under: uncultured bacterium
Lineage: Bacteria
Description: partial 16S ribosomal RNA
Rfam family: Bacterial small subunit ribosomal RNA
Source: RNAcentral